Molecule: ribosomal RNA, 2733 nt
Filed under: Klebsiella pneumoniae
Lineage: Bacteria; Pseudomonadati; Pseudomonadota; Gammaproteobacteria; Enterobacterales; Enterobacteriaceae
Description: bacterial LSU rRNA
Rfam family: Bacterial large subunit ribosomal RNA
Source: RNAcentral
AGCGUACACGGUGGAUGCCCUGGCAGUCAGAGGCGAUGAAGGACGUGCUAAUCUGCGAAAAGCGUCGGUAAGGUGAUAUGAACCGUUAUAACCGGCGAUGUCCGAAUGGGGAAACCCAGUGCAAUUCGUUGCACUAUCGUUAACUGAAUACAUAGGUUAACGAGGCGAACCGGGGGAACUGAAACAUCUAAGUACCCCGAGGAAAAGAAAUCAACCGAGAUUCCCCCAGUAGCGGCGAGCGAACGGGGAGCAGCCCAGAGUCUGAAUCAGCUUGUGUGUUAGUGGAACGGUCUGGAAAGUCCGACGGUACAGGGUGAUAGUCCCGUACACCAAAAUGCACAGGCUGUGAACUCGAAGAGUAGGGCGGGACACGUGGUAUCCUGUCUGAAUAUGGGGGGACCAUCCUCCAAGGCUAAAUACUCCUGACUGACCGAUAGUGAACCAGUACCGUGAGGGAAAGGCGAAAAGAACCCCGGCGAGGGGAGUGAAAAAGAACCUGAAACCGUGUACGUACAAGCAGUGGGAGCACCUUCGGGUGUGACUGCGUACCUUUUGUAUAAUGGGUCAGCGACUUAUAUUCUGUAGCAAGGUUAACCGUAUAGGGGAGCCGCAGGGAAACCGAGUCUUAACUGGGCGUUAAGUUGCAGGGUAUAGACCCGAAACCCGGUGAUCUAGCCAUGGGCAGGUUGAAGGUUGGGUAACACUAACUGGAGGACCGAACCGACUAAUGUUGAAAAAUUAGCGGAUGACUUGUGGCUGGGGGUGAAAGGCCAAUCAAACCGGGAGAUAGCUGGUUCUCCCCGAAAGCUAUUUAGGUAGCGCCUCGUGAACUCAUCUUCGGGGGUAGAGCACUGUUUCGGCUAGGGGGUCAUCCCGACUUACCAACCCGAUGCAAACUACGAAUACCGAAGAAUGUUAUCACGGGAGACACACGGCGGGUGCUAACGUCCGUCGUGAAGAGGGAAACAACCCAGACCGCCAGCUAAGGUCCCAAAGUCAUGGUUAAGUGGGAAACGAUGUGGGAAGGCACAGACAGCCAGGAUGUUGGCUUAGAAGCAGCCAUCAUUUAAAGAAAGCGUAAUAGCUCACUGGUCGAGUCGGCCUGCGCGGAAGAUGUAACGGGGCUAAACCAUGCACCGAAGCUGCGGCAGCGACACUAUGUGUUGUUGGGUAGGGGAGCGUUCUGUAAGCCUGCGAAGGUGACCUGUGAGGGUUGCUGGAGGUAUCAGAAGUGCGAAUGCUGACAUAAGUAACGAUAAAGCGGGUGAAAAGCCCGCUCGCCGGAAGACCAAGGGUUCCUGUCCAACGUUAAUCGGGGCAGGGUGAGUCGACCCCUAAGGCGAGGCCGAAAGGCGUAGUCGAUGGGAAACAGGUUAAUAUUCCUGUACUUGGUGUUACUGCGAAGGGGGGACGGAGAAGGCUAUGUUAGCCGGGCGACGGUUGUCCCGGUUUAAGCAUGUAGGCUGNNNNNNNNNNNACUACGGUGCUGAAGUAACAAAUGCCCUGCUUCCAGGAAAAGCCUCUAAGCAUCAGGUAACAUUAAAUCGUACCCCAAACCGACACAGGUGGUCAGGUAGAGAAUACCAAGGCGCUUGAGAGAACUCGGGUGAAGGAACUAGGCAAAAUGGUGCCGUAACUUCGGGAGAAGGCACGCUGGUGUGUAGGUGAAGUCCCUGCGGAUGGAGCUGAGACCAGUCGAAGAUACCAGCUGGCUGCAACUGUUUAUUAAAAACACAGCACUGUGCAAACACGAAAGUGGACGUAUACGGUGUGACGCCUGCCCGGUGCCGGAAGGUUAAUUGAUGGGGUUAUCCGUAAGGAGAAGCUCUUGAUCGAAGCCCCGGUAAACGGCGGCCGUAACUAUAACGGUCCUAAGGUAGCGAAAUUCCUUGUCGGGUAAGUUCCGACCUGCACGAAUGGCGUAAUGAUGGCCAGGCUGUCUCCACCCGAGACUCAGUGAAAUUGAACUCGCUGUGAAGAUGCAGUGUACCCGCGGCAAGACGGAAAGACCCCGUGAACCUUUACUAUAGCUUGACACUGAACAUUGAGCCUUGAUGUGUAGGAUAGGUGGGAGGCUUUGAAGCGUGGACGCCAGUCUGCGUGGAGCCAACCUUGAAAUACCACCCUUUAAUGUUUGAUGUUCUAACGUUGGCCCCUGACCGGGGUUGCGGACAGUGUCUGGUGGGUAGUUUGACUGGGGCGGUCUCCUCCCAAAGCGUAACGGAGGAGCACGAAGGUUAGCUAAUCCUGGUCGGACAUCAGGAGGUUAGUGCAAUGGCAUAAGCUAGCUUGACUGCGAGCGUGACGGCGCGAGCAGGUGCGAAAGCAGGUCAUAGUGAUCCGGUGGUUCUGAAUGGAAGGGCCAUCGCUCAACGGAUAAAAGGUACUCCGGGGAUAACAGGCUGAUACCGCCCAAGAGUUCAUAUCGACGGCGGUGUUUGGCACCUCGAUGUCGGCUCAUCACAUCCUGGGGCUGAAGUAGGUCCCAAGGGUAUGGCUGUUCGCCAUUUAAAGUGGUACGCGAGCUGGGUUUAGAACGUCGUGAGACAGUUCGGUCCCUAUCUGCCGUGGGCGCUGGAGAAUUGAGGGGGGCUGCUCCUAGUACGAGAGGACCGGAGUGGACGCAUCACUGGUGUUCGGGUUGUCAUGCCAAUGGCACUGCCCGGUAGCUAAAUGCGGAAGAGAUAAGUGCUGAAAGCAUCUAAGCACGAAACUUGCCCCGAGAUGAGUUCU